CUUCACCGAACCCAACCACAACGGCUCGUCGCGGUCCUGACCGUAAGUCGCCAGCAACGCCUGCGCCUC
RNAcentral lists this antisense RNA (69 nucleotides) under Saccharothrix australiensis. Its description in RNAcentral is "ASpks TB sRNA". It matches the Rfam family "ASpks TB sRNA". The record is from Rfam by way of RNAcentral. Lineage: Bacteria; Bacillati; Actinomycetota; Actinomycetes; Pseudonocardiales; Pseudonocardiaceae.